AGAAGAUAAAUAAAGAAAUAUUGGAUAGAGAAAAUUCGUUAAAUAAAUUAAAAGAAUUAAGAGAAAAUUAUUUUUAUCCGCUUAUAGGUAAAAUUGAGACAGAUUGGGAAUGUAAAAAGAUAGAAGAUGCAGAUCAAUUCAAUGGUUUUUUAUUGGAGAUUUUGUAUGAAUAUAUUAAAUC
Polistes dominula (European paper wasp) is the source of this 181-nucleotide long non-coding RNA. The record is from RefSeq and is a predicted model, not a curated record. NCBI's taxonomy places the organism in Eukaryota, Metazoa, Arthropoda, Insecta, Hymenoptera, Vespidae.